GUCACAUUAGCACUUUGUGCUUCUGAGCUUUGUAUCUGUCACUCUAGACAUAUCAAGAUGAUCUCCCAGACUCAGCUACUCUGGCUCCUCGCGCUCUGCAUUCAAGAUUCCAGUGGACAGACUGUGAUGACUCAGACUCCAGAAUCCCUGGCAGUGUCUCCAGGAGACAGAGUCACCAUCAACUGCAAAGCCAGUUCCUGUGUUAGCAACUGGAUGGCCUGGUACCAACAGAAAUCAGGACAAGCCCCUAAGCUCCUUAUCUACAGCGCUUCCAGCCGUCCCUCUGGGAUCCCAGACCGGUUCAGUGGCAGUGGGUCUGGCACUGAUUUCACGUUCACAAUCAGCAGGGUUGAAGCAGAUGAUGCUGGAGAUUUUUACUGCCAAAAGUAUAAGAGUGCCCCACUCGCACAGUGAUACGAACCAGCACAGAAACCUCCCUACUAUGUAGUUUCAGACUCUCACUCAGUAUUUCAGUUGCUUCCUGUGCAGCUUAAUUGUGUGAUUGCCUCUGCUGCCCUGCAGUGGGGUGGCUGGGUGUGUCAGACUUCGAUCACCUCCCUCCACACUGAAGAACUUCCGGUCCUUUCAGGUGCUCACAAUAGGUGUUCAGCACUCUUUACUCAGCAAUUGCCCCCUGCCCGCUAACAUGGAUUUGCUCUUAUGGGUUGCAUC
Non-coding RNA from Chelonia mydas (Green sea turtle), 672 nucleotides. Lineage: Eukaryota; Metazoa; Chordata; Testudines; Cheloniidae. The record is from the annotation of a RefSeq genome assembly.